AAGCCCGGAAAUUGAAAUUGAAACAAGAUUAGACUAUAAUUAUUAUUAUUAUUAUUCUUUGGCGACCCGGCCGGCCGUUUGCCCUUGCUGAGUAUUUACUUGCUACAUAACUACGCAGUUAGGUUGGUUUUGGUUCGUCGGAACUGCGAUUGCGAUUGCGAUUGCGAUUGCGAUGGAUGGGUGGAAAAUAAUGUCUUGGGCGGGCCAAUAUACUUACAAACGGAAUAGAUAGGAUAACUGGAAUCGUCAUUGAGAGCUUGUUGCUUCUCUCCUUCUCUUUCUUGGAGCAAAUCGGGGCGAUUCUUCUUUUGCUUUGCCUUUCUUUUCUUUCUUUGGUUUCCUUUCGUUUGGCUUUGGCUUUGGCUUUGGCUUUCUAUGGGCGAUGGGCGAGAGUGAUGUCACCACUGCCACUCACUGUCAUCAUCAUCAUCGUCAUCAACAUCAUCAUCUGCCCUGGGGUGG
This 462-nucleotide small RNA is filed under the name Histoplasma capsulatum var. duboisii H88. Its description in RNAcentral is "Histoplasma capsulatum H88 hypothetical RNA". Lineage: Eukaryota; Fungi; Ascomycota; Eurotiomycetes; Onygenales; Ajellomycetaceae. The record is from RNAcentral.